AUUGAACGCUGGCGGCAGGCCUAACACAUGCAAGUCGAGCGGAUGAAGGGAGCUUGCUCCUGGAUUCAGCGGCGGACGGGUGAGUAAUGCCUAGGAAUCUGCCUGGUAGUGGGGGAUAACGUCCGGAAACGGGCGCUAAUACCGCAUACGUCCUGAGGGAGAAAGUGGGGGAUCUUCGGACCUCACGCUAUCAGAUGAGCCUAGGUCGGAUUAGCUAGUUGGUGGGGUAAAGGCCUACCAAGGCGACGAUCCGUAACUGGUCUGAGAGGAUGAUCAGUCACACGGGAAGUGAAACACGUCCAUGCCUCCGGGGGGAGGCGCCAGGGGGGAAUUGGGAACAGGGGGGGAAGACCUGACCCAGCCGUGCGGGGGGGGGGAAGAAGGUCUUGGUAUUGAAAAGCUCUUUAAGUGGGGAGAAAGGGAAUUAGUUUAUUACCUUGUUUUUUUGACGUUACCAAAAAAAGAGGCCCCGGCAAUCUUGGUG
RNAcentral lists this ribosomal RNA (484 nucleotides) under uncultured bacterium. Its description in RNAcentral is "partial 16S ribosomal RNA". It matches the Rfam family "Bacterial small subunit ribosomal RNA", at positions 30 to 507 of the family's 1533-position model. The record is from RNAcentral.